UAAGCAUAUCAAUAAGCGGAGGAAAAGAAACCAACAGGGAUUGCCCCAGUAACGGCGAGUGAAGCGGCAACAGCUCAAAUUUGAAAUCUGGGGUCCCUAGCGGGGCCCCCGAGUUGUAAUUUGCAGAGGGUGUCUCGGGGGGAGGACCGGUCCAAGUGCCUUGGAACAGGCUACCGUAGAGGGUGAGAGUCCCGUACGGCCGGCGCCACCCCCCGUGUGAGGCCCCUUCGACGAGUCGAGUUGUUUGGGAAUGCAGCUCUAAGCGGGUGGUAAAUUCCAUCUAAAGCUAAAUAUCUGCCAGAGACCGAUAGCGCACAAGUAGAGUGAUCGAAAGAUGAAAAGCACUUUGGAAAGAGAGUCAAAAGUACGUGAAAUUGUUGAAAGGGAAGCGCAUGGGGCCAGCCGUGGCCGCGGGUGUUCCGGGUGCCUUCUGGCGCUCGUACUCUCCCGCGGUCAGGCCAGCAUCGGCUCUGGGGGUCGCACAAAGGCGCCGGGAUCGUAGCAGCCUCGUGCUGCGUGACAGCCCGGCGUGCAAUGCGGCCAUCCGGGGUCGAGGACCGCGCUUCGGCGAGGAUGCUGGCGCAAUGGCCCUCUGCGGCCCGUCUUGAAACACGGACCGAGGAGUCUAACAUCUAUGCGAGUGCUUGGGUGUCAAAGCCCGGGCGCGCAAUGAAGGUGAACGCAGGCGGGAGCCCUCGGGCGCACCGUCGACCGAUCCUGACGUCUUCUGAAGGAUUUGAGUAAGAGCAUAGCUGUUGGGACCCGAAAGAUGGUGAACUAUGCGUGAAUAGGGUGAAGCCAGAGGAAACUCUGGUGGAGGCUCGCAGCGGUUCUGACGUGCAAAUCGAUCGUCAAAUUUGCGUAUAGGGGCGAAAGACUAAUCGAACCAUCUAGUAGCUGGUUCCUGCCGA
RNAcentral lists this ribosomal RNA (911 nucleotides) under Scolecobasidium echinulatum. Its description in RNAcentral is "partial large subunit ribosomal RNA". It matches the Rfam family "Eukaryotic large subunit ribosomal RNA", at positions 35 to 964 of the family's 3401-position model. Lineage: Eukaryota; Fungi; Ascomycota; Dothideomycetes; Venturiales; Sympoventuriaceae. The record is from RNAcentral.